GACGUCGAUAUUCGACGUAAUAAACACGAUCAACUUUGGUGUUUAUGACGUCGAUAUUCGACGUCAUAAACACGAUCAACUUUGUGUUUAUGACGUCGAUAUUCGACGUCAUAAACACGAUCAACUUUGGUGUUUAUGACGUCGAUAUUCGACGUCAUAAACACGAUCAACUUUGGUGUUUAUGACGUCGAUAUUCGACGUC
This is a non-coding RNA of Paramuricea clavata, 202 nucleotides long. NCBI's taxonomy places the organism in Eukaryota, Metazoa, Cnidaria, Anthozoa, Malacalcyonacea, Plexauridae. The record is from the annotation of a GenBank genome assembly.